RNAcentral lists this unclassified non-coding RNA (142 nucleotides) under uncultured Meliniomyces. RNAcentral's name for it is "sequence contains ITS2". Lineage: Eukaryota; Fungi; Ascomycota; Leotiomycetes; Helotiales; Helotiaceae. The record is from RNAcentral.
AAACAACUCAAGCUUGGCUUGGUAUUGGGGUCCGCGGUCUCGCGGCCCUUAAAAUCAGUGGCGGUGCCGUCUGGCUCUAAGCGUAGUAAUGCUCUCGCUAUAGGGUCCGUUCGGUGGCUGCCAGAACCCCUAACUUCUAAGU